This 1924-nucleotide long non-coding RNA is filed under the name Theobroma cacao (cacao). RNAcentral's name for it is "long non-coding RNA (TCAC_LNC001319)". Lineage: Eukaryota; Viridiplantae; Streptophyta; Magnoliopsida; Malvales; Malvaceae. The record is from RNAcentral.
UAUGGCCGGCCAAGCAAGGGAACAAAAAGAAAAAGAGAAGAACAAACCUAGAAAGGAAAAAUUCAAGAGAAAUUAUUGGAUUUCAAGGAAUCAAGCAAGUAAAGGUAAGAUUUUUUAAUUUUAGCCUGUGAUCUACCUUUCUCAUGCAUUCUUUUUCAUUCUCUAUGGCUGAAAUUCAAGUUUUCAAGAGGGAACCUUUGCUGGCCAAAUCUAGAGAGAGAAGUUUUGGUGAUGAAUUUUGCUAGAUUUUAUAAUAUCUUAGUGUUUUUAGUCAUUUUGUGAUGUUUGGAAGGAAAAACAAGUAAGAAAAUCACAUGUUCUUUAACCACCCUCAUUUGGCCAAAUUUUCUAUAGGGCAUGUUGAUGAUGGAUUUGGUUGUAAAUCAUGUUAUUUAGCUAGGAAUUGAUGAUUUAUGGCAUCGGAUAUCGAAAUAUGAAUGAAUUUCAAUUACGGUGAAUUAAGUCACAAUUAAGCUCAUUGAGGUACUUUGGUGUAUUUGGAAUAUUGAAAGUGUAAUGAAGAUAAUUGGAUGUUUUGGCUAAUUAAACAAGGCAUAGUGCGAGUUAGGUCGAAUGCCAAUUCAGUCUGAUCAUAAUUGAACCCAUGUAGAACACCGUCUUUAAGUGAUUAUUCGGACAAUUCUCAUUCAAUGUCAUGCAUUCAUAUAGAGCCUGAAAUAGUUUUAUAACAGUUUGGCACAAAAUAUAUUAAAUUACAUGUCAUGUAUUAUGUAUAGGUGGUGAGCCCUCGGAUAAGGGUAAAGAUAUUGUGCUUGAGGUCCAAGAAAAGGAGUACUCCAAACUCCUACUAUUGUGAGUAAUCAAAUGUUCAUCUUAAUUAUCUAAAGUGGUUUAUACUUGUUUUAAUAUUUUAAAGAAUAAGGCACUUAAUUUGCAAAUUAUUAUGUUUUGCAUUUUAAAUGUUGGUUAAAUAAAUGAGAUUUAUAAAUUAUUUUGAAACUAAAUGUUGAUUUUUGAAAUAGAGUAAGUGGAGGCUAUACAUUCGUUAUAUAUAUAUAUAUAUAUANNNNNNNNNNUAUAUAUAUGUUUUGACAUAUGGUUUGAAUUGAUGGCUUAUGACAAUGUGAUGGCAAGCAUGGCUGGAUUUGUGUUUGUGUGGAAUAUAUGAACUGUUUUGCUUUGCCUUGACAGGCUGGUAAUAUUAUAUUAGCCAUGUCAUGCUGUCGAAAAUUUUAUUGAAUUGGUGGGUUAUUUGAUUAGCUUACUGCAGUGGGCAGGUUUUCGUAGACCAGCCUAUUAGAGGGGCACGGUAAACCCGUUAUAUUUUACCUCGGUACAAGAGGUGCGGAGGGUAUCUCCUAUGGUAAAGUUAGAGUUCACUUCACGUCGAACCACCACGUGAAGGUGAAACUCAGCCAACGCCAAGGAACAACUAUGUUUGUAAAACGUAAAAACUUGUUUUAUGUGUAUAUAUCAUUUUAACAACCUUGACGGACUCAAUUGGAUGCCAGGGCCAAGGUGUCAUUGAGUACGAGUUUUGGCACGAGCUAAGUUUUAAGAAAGUCAUAAGCCUUGCUGAUUGUUUUGAUGAAAUGUAAUUGUUUUACUUGGAUUGAAAUGAGUUUUGAUUGUAAUGAACUAUAUUAUGAUAGGAUGAUUUAACUGUCUCCAUUUACUCGGCUUUAGAUGUUAUAGAUGAAUUUUGCUUACUCACUAGGUUUAUAAAAACUCACCCCUUUUUUUUACCCAUUUCAGGCUCAGGAUAGUCUGUAGACAAUCGAUUUUGUCGAGGGUUGCUUUUGGAUUUGCAUCCUUAGAAAUUGAAGGUCUACAGUCUUGUAUGUUUUCGGUUAUUUUGAGGGCCCACAUGUCAUUGUAGAAUAUUUUUGUAUACCUGGUUUAGUGUGCUAUUAUAUAUAUGAAUUUAUUUUGUUUUUAUGUUACAAAAAUUAUUUACGCAGAG